UGCAGACCACUCCUCCUACAAAAGCAGCAGCCGCACAGGCAAGUCCUGCACUUGGACUGUGCUUUUGCACCAGCAGUUCCAGCACUGCUGGAAGGCGCUCAGGGACAGGGACCGAACGACCGCUGAACUAAUGCCUUACGAUGAUACCAAGAUGAGCUGACUUGUAGGUUUGCAGUUCAGUGCAGUCUUAGAGCAACAUAAAUACCCCAGCCUUGGAGCCUUGGAGCCUGAGAAUCCUUCAGAAAGGGCACCACAGCCCAGAUGACACGUAAUGCUACAGCUGCCCCGGAGUCACAUCCACGUGGAUCCCGGCCUCCACAAAGAGGGAUUUAGCUGUCUUCCUAACAUCACCCAUUCUGAAUCUAUAGCAACCCUCCUGCGAUACGUGAAGCUAUUUUUAGCAUCAGGGCAGCCUUGAAAAGCAGCAGAUCAGAACUAAUAGUGAGAGCCAGAAGCACAGUACAAGCUUAUCACUGCCCCUGCUGAAACAUGUCUGCCAGCAAGCGCCUCCGCUGCACUGCAAGGUGAAGAUUUUUCAAUUAAAUCGUCAGAUAACGAGAAGCCUAUCUAAUACAACAAACCACAACGCCUCCACCUGUCCUUCAAACCUCACUGAAAACAGGGAAUCGAAUUUUGACUCACGCUGUGCCUUAUCAGACCCUGAAACACAAGCAAAAAAGGAGCCGGCAAGGCCCCAGAAGCAGGCGCUCAGAUGUGGGCACAGCAGGCAAUUGCCUGUUCUCUUGAGCCAGAAAACAAGCAGUGAUGCUUCGGGAAAGGGUA
RNAcentral lists this long non-coding RNA (783 nucleotides) under Apteryx owenii (little spotted kiwi). RNAcentral describes it as "lncRNA (ENSAOWG00000004391.1)". Lineage: Eukaryota; Metazoa; Chordata; Aves; Apterygiformes; Apterygidae. The record is from RNAcentral.